This 253-nucleotide ribosomal RNA is filed under the name uncultured bacterium. RNAcentral describes it as "partial 16S ribosomal RNA". It matches the Rfam family "Bacterial small subunit ribosomal RNA", at positions 524 to 776 of the family's 1533-position model. The record is from RNAcentral.
CACGUAGGGGACGAGCGUUGUUCGGAAUUAUUGGGCGUAAGGCGCGCGCAGGCGGUCUCUUAAGUCUGAUGUGAAAGCCCACGGCUCAACCGUGGAGGGUCAUUGGAAACUGGGGGACUUGAGUGCAGAAGAGGAAAGCGGAAUUCCACGUGUAGCGGUGAAAUGCGUAGAGAUGUGGAGGAACACCAGUGGCGAAGGCGGCUUUCUGGUCUGUAACUGACGCUGAGGCGCGAAAGCGUGGGGAGCAAACAGG